UACAGAGGCCCCGAGCGUUACCCGGAAUUACUGGGCGUAAAGAGUGCGUAGGUGGUCGUGUUAGUCGUUUGUAAAAUCCCAGGGCUCAACUCUGGACGCGCAAGCGAAACGGCACGACUCGAGAGCGUGAGAGGUCUGUGGAACUCUAGGUGUAGGGGUGAAAUCCGUUGAUAUCUAGGGGAACACCGAAAGCGAAGGCAGCAGACUGGCGCGUUUCUGACACUCAAGCACGAAAGCGUGGGUAG
Molecule: ribosomal RNA, 245 nt
Filed under: uncultured bacterium
Lineage: Bacteria
Description: partial 16S ribosomal RNA
Rfam family: Bacterial small subunit ribosomal RNA
Source: RNAcentral